RNAcentral lists this transfer RNA (95 nucleotides) under Fictibacillus barbaricus. RNAcentral describes it as "tRNA-Thr". The record is from RNAcentral. Lineage: Bacteria; Bacillati; Bacillota; Bacilli; Caryophanales; Fictibacillaceae.
GAACUCCAGGAUGGAUGGUGGCGAAUCGCAUCAUUGGUCAUGAUGAAGCAGUAGACUUUUACUAAGGUCCGUAUGAUCAUUUCAUACGGACUUUU